RNAcentral lists this transfer RNA (74 nucleotides) under Chloroflexota bacterium. Its description in RNAcentral is "Chloroflexi bacterium (groundwater metagenome) tRNA-Val". It matches the Rfam family "tRNA". From Rfam's summary of the family: Transfer RNA (tRNA) molecules are approximately 80 nucleotides in length. Their secondary structure includes four short double-helical elements and three loops (D, anti-codon, and T loops). Lineage: Bacteria; Bacillati; Chloroflexota. The record is from RNAcentral.
GGGCGCGUAGCUCAGCUGGUUAGAGCGCAUCAUUCACAUUGAUGAGGUCGGGGGUUCGAGCCCCUCCGCGCCCA